Molecule: ribosomal RNA, 464 nt
Filed under: uncultured bacterium
Lineage: Bacteria
Description: partial 16S ribosomal RNA
Rfam family: Bacterial small subunit ribosomal RNA
Source: RNAcentral
CUACGGGUCGCUCCAGUGGGGAAUAUUGCACAAUGAGCGAAAGCUUGAUGCAGCCAUACCGCGUGUGUGAAGAAGGCCCGAGGGUUGUAAAGCACUUUCAAUUGGGAGGAAGGUUAAGUAGUUAAUACCUGCUUAAUUUGACGUUACCUUUAGAAGAAGCACCGGCUAACUCUGUGCCAGCAGCCGCGGUAAUACAGAGGGUGCAAGCGUUAUUCGGAAUUACUGGGCGUAAAGCGCGCGUAGGCGGAUUAUUAAGUCAGUUGUGAAAGCCCUGGGCUCAACCUGGGAACUGCAUCUGAUACUGGUAGUCUAGAGUUUAAAAGAGGGAAUGGGAAUUCCGGGUGUAGCAGUGAAAUGCGUAGAUAUCUGGAGGAACAUCAGUGGCGAAGGCGACUUCCUGGCUUAAAACUGACGCUGAGGUGCGAAAGCGUGGGUAGCGAACGGGAUUAGAUACCCCAGUAGUC